UACGGGGGGAGCAAACGUUGUUCGGAAUCACUGGGCGUAAAGGGCGUGUAGGCGGCUGGAUAAGUGGGAUGUUAAAUCCCCCGGCUCAACCGGGGACCUGCAUCUCAUACUGUUCAGCUCGAGCACAUCAGAGGAGACUGGAAUUCCCGGUGUAGCGGUGAAAUGCGCAGAUAUCGGGAGGAACACCAAUGGCGAAGGCAGCUCGCUGGGACGAUACUGACGCUGAGGUGCGAAAGCGUGGGGAGCAAACAGG
RNAcentral lists this ribosomal RNA (253 nucleotides) under uncultured bacterium. Its description in RNAcentral is "partial 16S ribosomal RNA". It matches the Rfam family "Bacterial small subunit ribosomal RNA", at positions 524 to 776 of the family's 1533-position model. The record is from RNAcentral.